GAUGAACGCUAGCGGCAGGCCUAACACAUGCAAGUCGAGGGAGGAGCUUUCGGGCUUCGACCGGCGUACGGGUGCGUAACGCGUAUACAAUCUGCCUUUCACAUAGGGAUAGCCCGAAGAAAUUUGGAUUAAUACCUAAUGGUAUAUAGGUGUGGCAUCACAUUUAUAUUAAAGCUGAGGCGGUGAAAGAUGAGUAUGCGUUCUAUUAGCUAGUUGGAGAGGUAACGGCUCCCCGAGGCGACGAUAGAUAGGGGUUCUGAGAGGGAUAUCCCCCACACUGGUACUGAGAUACGGACCAGACUCCUACGGGAGGCAGCAGUGAGGAAUAUUGGACAAUGGUCGGAAGACUGAUCCAGCCAUGCCGCGUGCAGGAAGACGGCCUUAUGGGUUGUAAACUGCUUUUGCAGGGGAAGAAUAAGGACUACGAGUAGUUUGAUGACGGUACUCUGCGAAUAAGCAUCGGCUAA
Molecule: ribosomal RNA, 467 nt
Filed under: Capnocytophaga sp. oral taxon 329
Lineage: Bacteria; Pseudomonadati; Bacteroidota; Flavobacteriia; Flavobacteriales; Flavobacteriaceae
Description: bacterial SSU rRNA
Rfam family: Bacterial small subunit ribosomal RNA
Source: RNAcentral